AGUCUGACGGAGCAACGCCGCGUGAGUGAUGAAGGUUUUCGGAUCGUAAAGCUCUGUUGUUAGGGAAGAACAAGUGCAAGAGUAACUGCUUGCACCUUGACGGUACCUAACCAGAAAGCCACGGCUAACUACGUGCCAGCAGCCGCGGUAAUACGUAGGUGGCAAGCGUUGUCCGGAAUUAUUGGGCGUAAAGGGCUCGCAGGCGGUUUCUUAAGUCUGAUGUGAAAGCCCCCGGCUCAACCGGGGAGGGUCAUUGGAAACUGGGAAACUUGAGUGCAGAAGAGGAGAGUGGAAUUCCACGUGUAGCGGUGAAAUGCGUAGAGAUGUGGAGGAACACCAGUGGCGAAGGCGACUCUCUGGUCUGUAACUGACGCUGAGGAGCGAAAGCGUGGGGAGCGAACAGGAUUAGAUACCCUGGUAGUCCACGCCGUAAACGAUGAGUGCUAAGUGUUAGGGGGUUUCCGCCCCUUAGUGCUGCAGCUAACGCAUUAAGCACUCCGCCUGGGGAGUACGGUCGCAAGACUGAAACUCAAAGGAAUUGACGGGGGCCCGCACAAGCGGUGGAGCAUGUGGUUUAAUUCGAAGCAACGCGAAGAACCUUACCAGGUCUUGACAUCCUCUGACAACCCUAGAGAUAGGGCUUUCCCUUCGGGGACAGAGUGACAGGUGGUGCAUGGUUGUCGUCAGCUCGUGUCGUGAGAUGUUGGGUUAAGUCCCGCAACGAGCGCAACCCUUGAUCUUAGUUGCCAGCAUUAGUUGGGCACUCUAAGGGUGACUGCCGGUGACAAACCGGAGGAAGG
This 800-nucleotide ribosomal RNA is filed under the name Bacillus sp. MN50. RNAcentral describes it as "bacterial SSU rRNA". It matches the Rfam family "Bacterial small subunit ribosomal RNA", at positions 380 to 1173 of the family's 1533-position model. Lineage: Bacteria; Bacillati; Bacillota; Bacilli; Caryophanales; Bacillaceae. The record is from RNAcentral.